Molecule: ribosomal RNA, 200 nt
Filed under: uncultured organism
Description: partial small subunit ribosomal RNA
Rfam family: Bacterial small subunit ribosomal RNA
Source: RNAcentral
GUCAAAUCAUCAUGCCCCUUAUGUCCUGGGCUACACACGUGCUACAAUGGCCGUCACAGAGCGAACCGAACCCGCGAGGGUGAGCAAAUCCCUUAAAGCCGGUCCCAGUUCGGAUUGAAGUCUGCAACUCGACUUCAUGAAGCCGGAGUCGCUAGUAAUCGCGGAUCAGCAAAGCCGCGGUGAAUACGUUCUCGGGGAUU